GUACUGGCUUCAGCAACACAUAUACUAAAACCAGAAUGAUACAGAGAAGAUUAGCAUGGCCCCUGUGCAAGGGUGACAUGCAAAUUCAUGAAGCGUUCCAUAUUUUA
Small nuclear RNA from Molossus molossus (Pallas's mastiff bat), 107 nucleotides. The record is from RefSeq and is a predicted model, not a curated record. Lineage: Eukaryota; Metazoa; Chordata; Mammalia; Chiroptera; Molossidae.